RNAcentral lists this ribosomal RNA (301 nucleotides) under uncultured bacterium. RNAcentral describes it as "partial 16S ribosomal RNA". It matches the Rfam family "Bacterial small subunit ribosomal RNA", at positions 509 to 807 of the family's 1533-position model. The record is from RNAcentral.
CAGUAGCCACGGGAAUACGGAGGGUGCAAGCGUUAUCCGGAUUUAUUGGGUUUAAAGGGUCCGUAGGCGGACUUAUAAGUCAGUGGUGAAAGCCUGUCGCUUAACGAUAGAACUGCCAUUGAUACUGUAAGUCUUGAGUAUAUUUGAGGUAGCUGGAAUAAGUAGUGUAGCGGUGAAAUGCAUAGAUAUUACUUAGAACACCAAUUGCGAAGGCAGGUUACCAAGAUAUAACUGACGCUGAGGGACGAAAGCGUGGGUAGCGAACAGGAUUAGAUACCCCAGUAGUCCCUGUCUCUUAUAC